This 71-nucleotide transfer RNA is filed under the name Elusimicrobiota bacterium. RNAcentral describes it as "tRNA-Gly". It matches the Rfam family "tRNA". Rfam says of the family: Transfer RNA (tRNA) molecules are approximately 80 nucleotides in length. Their secondary structure includes four short double-helical elements and three loops (D, anti-codon, and T loops). The record is from RNAcentral. Lineage: Bacteria; Pseudomonadati; Elusimicrobiota.
GCGGGUGUAGUUCAAUGGUAGAACGAGAGCUUCCCAAGCUGUCCGCAAUGAGGCGAUUUCAUUCGCCCGCG